GUGUAGAAAUAGCACAGGCCGGGCCCCUCUGGGUGUAGAUGUGUAGAGAUGGCACAGGUCGGGCCCCUCUGGGUGGAGAGGUGGUGAGAUGGCACAAGCCGGGCCCUUCUGGGUGGGGAGGUGGAGAGAUGGCACAGUGGAGGCCCCUCUGUG
Cebus imitator (Panamanian white-faced capuchin) is the source of this 153-nucleotide long non-coding RNA. RefSeq lists it as uncharacterized. The record is from RefSeq and is a predicted model, not a curated record. Lineage: Eukaryota; Metazoa; Chordata; Mammalia; Primates; Cebidae. The transcript is spliced from 3 exons.